UCAAUGUGCUCAAUGGGAAAAAUCUGCAUCCAAGAAUACCCUAUCCAACAAGUCUGUCAUUCAGAAUAAGAGAG
Molecule: long non-coding RNA, 74 nt
Organism: Mustela erminea (ermine)
Lineage: Eukaryota; Metazoa; Chordata; Mammalia; Carnivora; Mustelidae
Exons: 2
Source: RefSeq, a predicted model, not a curated record